GAAAAUGCAAACUGAAACCUGGGAAACAGUGCAGUCCAAGUCAAGGUCCUUGUUGUACAGCACAGUGUGCAUUCAAGUCAAAGUCUGAGAAGUGUCGGGAUGAUUCAGACUGUGCAAGGGAAGGAAUAUGUAAUGGCUUCACAGCUCUCUGCCCAGCGUCUGACCCUAAACCAAACUUCACAGACUGUAAUAGGCAUACACAAGUGUGCAUUAAUGGGGUAAGCAUUUAACUAUGUGUUUUUAAAUUUAAUUUUAGAAAACUUAUUUUUCAGAAGAAUUAUUGAUGCUUAAAGCUACAUAGUUAAAGUAAUUAAUCUUGGGCUCUGUUUAAGUAAUAUUCCCUCACAAAACCAUGAAUAUAUUAUGUGGCAUUCAAUUAGCUACUAAUUUGUCUUUCAUCUUUCCAUGUACUUGUGGUUGAUAUUCUCUAGAGAAACAUAGUUGUACAACUCGGCAUGUGACUUGUCUAUAAUAUUUAAGUUUUAUAAAAUAAUAUUUCAGUAGCCUAAAUAAAAGAACUCUUUGGUCAUCUUCUCUGAAUAUGAAACCUUCAAAGCUUUUGUGGCUGAAUAUCACUUUGCUUUACAUGAAGAAAAUUUAAUUUUUCUUUGUUUAUAGAAGAGCCAUAAUAACCAACAUAAAAUCGAUCCUCAUCUAAUCUCUUUCUCUGCUUUUAUUUCAUUUUUUUAAGUUGCCAUUGCUUUAAAAGAUUUAUUCUUUCUUGGGUUUACUGUUUUUCAGAUUUUGU
This 748-nucleotide small RNA is filed under the name Pongo abelii (Sumatran orangutan). Its description in RNAcentral is "retained intron". Lineage: Eukaryota; Metazoa; Chordata; Mammalia; Primates; Hominidae. The record is from RNAcentral.